Molecule: transfer RNA, 75 nt
Filed under: Enterococcus avium
Lineage: Bacteria; Bacillati; Bacillota; Bacilli; Lactobacillales; Enterococcaceae
Also listed under: 1 other name
Description: tRNA-Gln
Rfam family: tRNA
About the family: Transfer RNA (tRNA) molecules are approximately 80 nucleotides in length. Their secondary structure includes four short double-helical elements and three loops (D, anti-codon, and T loops).
Source: RNAcentral
UUGGGAUAUGGCCAAACUGGUAAGGCGUCUGACUCUGAAUCAGAAGAGUGCAGGUUCGAGCCCUGCUAUCCCAAU